CUUCGGUGAUGAUAAGAUGACGAGUCAGAAGUGGGUGCCUCUUGAUGUGGUAUCUGUGCAGCAUCAUGUUCUGUGAUGCUGCAUGUGGUUCUUCAGCAGGAGCAUCUGUCAUCAUUGGUUGAUUUAGAGGCAUUUGUCUGAGAAGG
Molecule: small nucleolar RNA, 146 nt
Filed under: Melopsittacus undulatus (budgerigar)
Lineage: Eukaryota; Metazoa; Chordata; Aves; Psittaciformes; Psittaculidae
Source: RNAcentral